GGUGAUGUAGCUCAGCUGGUUAGAGCACAGCAUUCAUAAUGCUGGGGUCGGUGGUUCAAGUCCACCUAUCACCACCA
RNAcentral lists this transfer RNA (77 nucleotides) under Betaproteobacteria bacterium MOLA814. RNAcentral's name for it is "tRNA-Met". It matches the Rfam family "tRNA". Rfam says of the family: Transfer RNA (tRNA) molecules are approximately 80 nucleotides in length. Their secondary structure includes four short double-helical elements and three loops (D, anti-codon, and T loops). The record is from RNAcentral. Lineage: Bacteria; Pseudomonadati; Pseudomonadota; Betaproteobacteria. RNAcentral also lists the same sequence under 3 other names.